CCUCGCCCUUAGUUGCCAGCAUUUAGUUGGGCACUCUAAGGGGACUGCCGGUGAUAAGCCGAUAGGAAGGUGGGGAUGACGUCAAGUCCUCAUGGCCCUUACGGGCUGGGCUACACACGUGCUACAAUGGUGGUGACAGUGGGCAUCGAAACAGCGAUGUCGAGCUAAUCUCCAAAAGCCAUCUCAGUUCGGAUUGCACUCUGCAACUCGAGUGCAUGAAGUUGGAAUCGCUAGUAAUCGCAGAUCAGCAUGCUGCGGUGAAUACGUUCCCGGGCCUUGUACACACCGCCCGUCACACCAUGGGAGUUGGUUUUACCCGAAGAGCGNUGCGUCUAUACCGCACAGGGGGUCAUGGCGACCACGGUAGGGUCUAGCCGACUGGGGUGAAGUCGUAACAAGGUGAGCCGUCAGGGG
Molecule: ribosomal RNA, 414 nt
Filed under: Agrobacterium sp. 1099
Lineage: Bacteria; Pseudomonadati; Pseudomonadota; Alphaproteobacteria; Hyphomicrobiales; Rhizobiaceae
Description: bacterial SSU rRNA
Rfam family: Bacterial small subunit ribosomal RNA
Source: RNAcentral